AAGCGUGCGCAGGCGGUUAUGGUAAGACAGAUGUGAAAUCCCCGGGCUCAACCUGGGAACUGCAUUUGUGACUGCAUGGCUAGAGUACGGUAGAGGGGGAUGGAAUUCCGCGUGUAGCAGUGAAAUGCGUAGAUAUGCGGAGGAACACCGAUGGCGAAGGCAAUCCCCUGGACCUGUACUGACGCUCAUGCACGAAAGCGUGGGGAGCAAACAGGAUUAGAUACCCUGGU
RNAcentral lists this ribosomal RNA (230 nucleotides) under uncultured bacterium. RNAcentral describes it as "partial 16S ribosomal RNA". It matches the Rfam family "Bacterial small subunit ribosomal RNA", at positions 563 to 791 of the family's 1533-position model. The record is from RNAcentral.